This 239-nucleotide ribosomal RNA is filed under the name uncultured bacterium. Its description in RNAcentral is "partial 16S ribosomal RNA". It matches the Rfam family "Bacterial small subunit ribosomal RNA", at positions 524 to 761 of the family's 1533-position model. The record is from RNAcentral.
UACAGAGGUGGCAAGCGUUGUUCGGAAUUACUGGGCGUAAAGGGCGCGUAGGCGGCCUUGUGAGUCAGACGUGAAAUCCCCAGGCUUAACCUGGGAACGUGCGUCUGAUACUGCAAGGCUCGAGUGCGGGAGAGGGAUGUGGAAUUCCAGGUGUAGCGGUGAAAUGCGUAGAUAUCUGGAGGAACACCGGUGGCGAAGGCGGCAUCCUGGACCGACACUGACGCUGAGGCGCGAAAGCU